This is a transfer RNA of Mesorhizobium sp. Root157, 72 nucleotides long. It matches the Rfam family "tRNA". Rfam says of the family: Transfer RNA (tRNA) molecules are approximately 80 nucleotides in length. Their secondary structure includes four short double-helical elements and three loops (D, anti-codon, and T loops). NCBI's taxonomy places the organism in Bacteria, Pseudomonadati, Pseudomonadota, Alphaproteobacteria, Hyphomicrobiales, Phyllobacteriaceae. The record is from Rfam.
GGGCGUAUAGCUCAGCGGGAGAGCACUACGUUGACAUCGUAGGGGUCACAGGUUCAAUCCCUGUUACGCCCA